AUGCGCGGUCUGCCUCCCGCGGCGGGCCGGGUCUCCAGGGAGGACCUGAGUUUUUCUUCACCCAUGGUCAGGGAGGCGCCAUCGCCCUGGCUUUGGGGCUGGGGCCUCCGGGGAGGUUCCGGUAGGGGCGUUGGAGAGGCCGCUCUUUUUGCAAGGCCCGAGAUGGCGGGCCCUGCGCAGGCCGCCCUAUUCCGCGCCCUCAGGGCGUCAGUAUCCGCCUGAGGCCGGAUACCCACUCUGGGCUCGGAUACCCGCGCUGGGCCCGGAGCAUCCUCGGCGCUGCCCUCCCAGAGCCCCGCAGAGGCUGAGGUGGCGCGGGGGCGGCCCCGGCUCCGCGAGAAGAGGCGGCAGCGAGGGCUGGAGGACCCGGGCUACGGGGCUCCGGGGCGUCUGGCCUGGGUGGGACUGAGCCCAUCCAGGGACUGGGACUCCGGGGUUCUGGUGUAGGUGGAUCCCGGGCAGGCUCAGGACCAAGACCCUCUCCUUCCACCAAGGAGCGCCCAGAGGCCGGCGGGAGCUCCAGGUUCACCUCCUCCUCCUCCAGGAAAUCCCACUUCCAGCUGGAUGUCUGGAUGAACUCCUGAAAGCUGCUGAGUGUCCUGCAGCAGGCCAUUUCCAAUCCAGAGGAAGACCUUCUAGAAGAAGUGAUGGGUGGGAGAGUGCUGACAUACUAUGCAAAGCUACUAUUUGGAGUUGGACACGAGUGCAUGUGACCUUGUGCCACAGCGGGAAUGUGAGCUGGAUGACAAAUGGAGAUUUGGACUUGUGAUAAUUGGCCUCUGUGUCAUUGUGUGGAAGACUGACUGGUCCCUUUAUUUCCUGUAGCUUGACUACCACACAAAUUAAUCCACUCAAAUGUUGGCAAGUGGAGCAGAGUCCCAGGACAGAGUCUCACUCUGUCACCCAGGCUAGAGUGCAAUGGCAUGAUCUCGGCUCACUACCACCUCCGCCUCCAGGGUUCAAGCGAUUGUCCUGCCUCAGCCUCCCAAGUAGCUGGAACUACAGGCACGUGCCACCACACCCUGCUAAUUUUUUGUAUUAGUAGAGACAGGGUUUCACCGUGUUGGCCACUGACUUCAUGAUCCCAAAGUGCUGGGAUUACAGUGCCUCGGCCUCCCAAAGUGCUGGGAUUACAGUGCCUUGGCCUCCCAAAGUGCUGGGAUUACAGGUGUGAUCCCACUAAUGGUUUUUUCAUGACCUAUCUUGUGUGCUCCUA
Molecule: long non-coding RNA, 1216 nt
Filed under: Homo sapiens (human)
Lineage: Eukaryota; Metazoa; Chordata; Mammalia; Primates; Hominidae
Description: family with sequence similarity 66 member C
Source: RNAcentral